Molecule: unclassified non-coding RNA, 1970 nt
Filed under: Hevea brasiliensis (rubber tree)
Lineage: Eukaryota; Viridiplantae; Streptophyta; Magnoliopsida; Malpighiales; Euphorbiaceae
Source: RNAcentral
CCCUGUUUUAUCAUUUUUUUUUAUGAAACCUCUUAAAUUGAAGUGAAUAAUUAAAUGUUGAUGCAUGUCUCAGAUCAAGUAUGGUUUGAGGGUCAUAUUUAGAAUAAUGAUACUGAGAGAGAGGGGACGCAGGGUUUACGGAUAGUGAAUAAUGCCAUUGAAUGGAAGUGAGUUUAAAUGCCUAGAACAAUGAAGGUAAACUGUAUGCCGCAAAGAUAUCAACUCUUCAUCUUGAAAACAUAAUGUGUUUCUUAAUAAACCGGGUUUUCCAGCGUCAAGAUCAGUUCAAAGGCGCUCAAUAGAAAGGCUUCCGAAAUCAGACGUGGAAGGAGUUGAAAGGGCUCGAGAGACCUCUCUCUCACAUUUCCAAUGUUCCUUUGCCAAUCUUUCCUUUGGAAAUCAGGUAAUCGGAAAAGAUUCUUUAUUCGGGAACCUGGGAAAGAUUGAUUUGCUAGUUCUUCUUCCCUGGCUUUCUUUUCAACCAGAUCCUUUCUUCUUCCAAUUCAGUUUUGUACUGGCAAUUGACCGGAAAAGGGAAAUCUUUCUUUUCGCCCCAACAAUCAAUUCUGAACGUACCAACAGGAACAGGGGAAAUAUGCUGUUUUUUCGACUUCGGAACCUGCUGCGUACCUUUACCAUUUCUUUUUCGAACCGAACUCAAGCCCCAGAACAGUGGAAAGAUUCAACCUCGCCUCAAAGCGGGGAGAACCAGAAUGGAACUCAAGACGGUUUAGUAUGGAUCGAAGUUGUCUUACUUAUUUAACAUAGAAAGGUCCCCUUGUCUCUUUGUUUGGGAGUUCAUUUCUCUACUGGCAAUUGACCUUAGAAGCUAAAUCUCCGUUUUUUCAACUGCAUGUUUGUAUCCCAAAUGCAUUUACGCAGGAGCAGAAAGACUCUAAUUGCUUUAGCGCGAGGUAGCUUUAUCGGCACUCAUUCGUAACUCAUUGGAUCUAAUCUAUGUUUCUCCUCCAGAGCAGAGAUUGAACACAAACCAGAUUCAGAGAAUUGCUUUAUGUGUAGUGUAAUCUCCCGAAUUCGACACCAUAAUUCUUAGACUUAUGCCUUAGCGGUAGGAGCCGCUGUAGGGCAAGCAAACCUUUCUACGGGUUUCGAUACCAGCGCUACGCCCGGAAAUUAAUGCUAGAAGGAGUCGCUACAAUUGCGGCCCGCUUUCGAGUCACCCGGUUCCGAAUCUGCUUUCGUCAUUCACUCUUCCCAUAAACAUGCCCUAUCAGAAUCCUUAUUUGACCAAUGCAGCGAAACUUUCGAGUACCGAGCUGUCCCUUCCUUAGGUCCCAGAAUCUCUUCUCUUACUUACGAGCCUGGAGCUAAUCCAACCAUUUACUCUAAAUAAAGUUGCUCGAAACCAGCUAGAUCUCUUUCUGCUUUUAGUACCCCAUUGGGAAAGAGCUAGCCCACUGCGUCCGAUGAAGCAUUUUCUUCUUACCCCAAACAAUGUAUUAUAUAUGAAUAAAGACCCGAAGGUAUGAUAUGGAUCAGUCUCCGGUAGGAGUCUUAGACGGACGAGGCAAAGUGAGAAGUAGAGGUAGCUUCCGAAUCUCUUGGGCUUAGCCAUCUUUCCCUAGUCUCAUUAAGGGGCGUAGCGGUGGUCUAUAUCGCUUACAGGAUCAGACCCUUCGUCGCAAAGACCGGAUUUGUCCACUUAUACUAUUGAUCGAAUUAACUAUUCCGCAAGUCCCACAGCUUAUUCUCGAACAUCUGUGCCAAGCUUAGUAAAGCCGGUAAUUCCUUCAAAGAUCCAAGCAGGGGAUUCAUUGGCAUCUUCUUCUCGCGGUUCCCUAUUUGAGACAGUUGAAGAGGCCUUUGCACGACAGUCUACUUAUGGCAUCGGAACCGCUAAUGCCGCAUCUCUCGACGAUAAGGAAUCCAGGAAAGAAGAGUUCAUAUUCCCAGGUACCUCACCACUUCUACUAGUCCGGCCUACAAGACCGCUUAUGGUUAUGCCGAAU